RNAcentral lists this ribosomal RNA (265 nucleotides) under uncultured bacterium. Its description in RNAcentral is "partial 16S ribosomal RNA". It matches the Rfam family "Bacterial small subunit ribosomal RNA", at positions 337 to 599 of the family's 1533-position model. The record is from RNAcentral.
ACCUACGGGAGGCAGCAGUGAGGAAUAUUGGUCAAUGGGCGAGAGCCUGAACCAGCCAAGCCGCGUGAGGGAAGACGGCCCUAUGGAUUGUAAACCUCUUUUGUCGGGGAACAAAACCCGGGACGAGUCCCCGACUGCGUGUAUCCGAAGAAAAAGCAUCGGCUAACUCCGUGCCAGCAGCCGCGGUAAUACGGAGGAUGCGAGCGUUAUCCGGAUUUAUUGGGUUUAAAGGGUGCGUAGGCGGUCCGUUAAGUCAGCGGUAAAA